GUGAGUCAUCGAAUCUUUGAACGCACCUUGCACCCUUUGGUAUUCCGAAGGGUACACCCGUUUGAGUGUCAUUGUAAUCUCACCCUCUUCGACUUUUUUGUCGACCAGUAUGGACUUGGAUGUUGUUGUGUGACAAACGACUCAUCUUAAAUGCCUGAGUGUACCCUGCUUUGCGGCGUAUUCGGUGUUAUAAAUCUUUCACCUGGAGUUUUGACCCUUUGGGUUGGUCGCUUGUAUUGUUUGGUCUCUAUGCAUCGAACCGUCCCCUGACAAGGACAAAUACCUCUGACAAUUUGACCUCAAAUCGGGUGGGACUACCCGCUGAACUUAAGCAUAUCAAUAAGCGGAGG
This 350-nucleotide ribosomal RNA is filed under the name uncultured fungus. Its description in RNAcentral is "eukaryotic LSU rRNA". The stretch from base 1 to 71 matches the Rfam family "5.8S ribosomal RNA", at positions 84 to 154 of the family's 154-position model. The record is from RNAcentral. Lineage: Eukaryota; Fungi.